Molecule: non-coding RNA, 3445 nt
Filed under: Pan troglodytes (chimpanzee)
Lineage: Eukaryota; Metazoa; Chordata; Mammalia; Primates; Hominidae
Source: RNAcentral
GAGUGCACCUGGCCUGAGAGCCCGCCAGGCCCUGCCCCUGCUCAGCUCCUCGUCUGCUGAAGCUCGGGACCUCUAGCCAGUGGCCCUCUGCAGCCACGGGGAAUGGGGCUGAGAGCCGGUUCCCGCUGCAGGGCAGAGCACCUAGCUCAGCCGCAGCCACAGGGACAUCUGGCCCCAGUUCUGAGAUGUGGGGAGUGCUGGCGGGCUCGGGGGUUGCCUGGAGGCUGCUGCCUGCACACAGAAGGCGGAUGCAGCUUGGGUGCCCAGGCGGGCUGGAGGACAGCGGGCUGGGAAGCCAGGGGCCGCCGGGACCUGGGGCUGGAAACCACAUCUGCCCACAGCCGCAGCCUCCUGCACCUGUCAUCCUGGCGGCGCCCUGACGUCGGAGAAGCAGCAGGCGCGGAGCUCCUGCAGCGGGCACCGCUGCAGCAACCCGACCCGGCGUAGGCGGCAGUGGAAGGCGGCCUGCUAGCACGGCUCCCGCGGCCCCAGGACCAGGGGUGCGGCCAGCACCGCCCUCACUCCCCGCGUCUCGUGGAUAUUGCCCUCCCUGGAGGCGGCUGGACCUAAGCGAGGCUCGCAGCGAUCGGCCCCGCGAAGACUCGCAUGCAGGGCUCAGGAUCCCGCAUUCUGGCGCCGCGGCACCGCACCUUUCAGCAGCCCUGCUCCUCUUCUUGUUGGUAAACUUUUGUCACUCUGCCAUGAAAAGCAUCCAGGCGUCCUUGAUUUCGACAUUGCAUGCACGCUCAGCCGAGCUCAUCAGACGGGCGGUUGUCCCCAGAGCCCGCGGGUAGCUUGUUCCUGGGCGGCGGCUCCUCCUGGAUGCAGCUCCUUGUGGGCCUACCAGGCUUGGUGGAGCCAAGGCCCGCCGUGGCCGGCAGACCUGUGGAGAGGAAGAGUAAGGCGGGCUCUGCAGGGCAGUGGGCCGGGACCAUGAGAGAGGCGGGUCAGUCUGGGCUCCAAGCUCAGCCUCUCGGAUUCCCCGGGACCCACGGCUUAUAAUGCGCUUAAAUCCCACGCCUCGCCCGAGAGACAGCACGUCACCGUCACCGCCUAGCGCCCCUGACCCGCUCCCACUCCGCUGCAGCGGAGGGUGUGUGAGGGAGAGGGACGCAGGGAGGGAAAAGCGUUGGGAGGGCAAACAUCUUUUCAUAAGCUUUUCCCCUUCUAUUAUGCCAUCUCUGAUGGGAGCCUCUUUAGAUCUUUCGUCCAUUUACUAAUUGGGUUGUUCGAUUUCUUAUUGUUGAGUUGUAAGUGGUUUUUAAUGGUCUGGAUGCCAGACAGGUGUUUUGCAAAUAUUUUCUCCGUCUGUGGCUUGUUUCUCCAUUCUCUUAUUUCCUUUCCCAGAGCAAAAGUUUUUAAUUGUAACGACUUCAUACCAAUAUCUUCUUUCAUGGUAGAAAUUUGUCUUUUAUGUACUUUAGUGUUGUAUCUACAAAGUAAUUGCCAAACCCAAAGUUACCUAAAUAUCCCUUUUGUUAUUUUACAGAAGUUUUACAGCUUUUGGAUUUAAAUUUAGGUCUAAAAAUUGAAUUCAUAAAAGUAGAGAGUAUAAUGAUGCUUACCAGAGGCUGUGUUGCUGGGGAGAAAAAUGGGAAGUUGUUCACAGAUGCAAAGAUUCAGUUAAACCAGAGAAAUGCGUUUUGAAAUCUAUUGCACAGCAGGAUGACUAUAGUCAAUAAUAAUGUACUGUAUAUUUAAAUAACAAAAAGUAAAUUUCAAAUAUCUAACCACAAAAAAUAAAAUUGAGGUGAUGGGUAUUUUUUAUUUUAUUUAUUUAUUUGUUUAUUUAUUUAUUUUUUUUGAGACAGAGUCUCGCUCUUUCGCCCAGGCCGGACUGCAGUGGCAGGGUCUCGGCCCACUGCAAGCUCCGCCUCCCGGGUUCACGCCAUGAGGUGAUGGAUAUUUUAUCCUCGAUGUAGUCAUUCCUCAUUUUAUACACAUAUCCAAGCAUCACAUUGUACCCCAUAAAUGUAUGCAAUUGUGGUUUGACAAUUUAAAAUAUUAUUAACUUAAAAAUGUGUCGUUCGAGUUAAUUUUUGAGGAGCAAGGUCUGUGUCUCAAUUCUUUUUUUUUGCAUAUAUGUAUAUAUACAUACACGCAAUGGAUUCAUCACUGUUUUUGAAAAAGCUACCCUUUCUCCCUUGAAUUGCCUUUACCUUUUUGUAAAAGAUCAAUUGACUGUGUUUGUGCACUCCUAUUUCUGAGUUCUCUAUUCUGUUCCAUUGAUCACUUUGCAAGUCCUUGAACUUUGUUCCUCCCCCACAAUAUUGUUGGCUAUUCUUGUUAGUUUGUCUUUCUAUAUAAACUUUAGAAUUAGUUUGUCAAUUUCCACACAAUAAUUUAUUCAUGUUUUCACGAGAGUUGUAAUGAAUUUGUAAAUCACAUUGAAGAGAACUGACAUCUUAACAACACUGGGUCUUAUUUUGUGAAUACAGAUGUCCCUUCAUUUAUUUAGAUCUUUAAUCCCUUUCAACAGAUUUUAUAGUUUUUCUCACAUAGACCCUGCCCAUAUUUUGCUAGAUUGUGUCUAUUUCAUUUUCUUGAUGCUAAUGAAAAUGGUAUUGGGCUUUUAAUUUCAAAUUCUCGUUGUUCAUUGCUGGAUGUAGGACAGCAAUUGAUUUUGUAUAUUAACCUUAUACCGUGCAACCUUGCUAUAAUCCAGAAGGGUUUUUGGCUGACGCUUUAAGAUUCUCUACAUAAAAAAUCAAGUUAUCAGCAAGCAAAGGGCAUUUUAAUGCUCCCUUUCCAAUCUGUAUACCUUUUAUUUUAUUUUCUUGUCUUAUUGCAUUAGCUAGGAUUUUAGUAUGAUGUUGAAUAGGAGCAGUGAGAGGGGAUAACAUUUCCUUGCUUCUUUUGUGUAAAACAUCCCAUUUUUCACAUUAUGUAUGAUAUUGUCUGUAGGGUGUUCUUUUGGUAUAUGUUCUUUAUCAGUUGAGGAAUUUCCCUUCUAUUUCUAAUUUGCUGAGAGUUUUAACCAUGAAUGGGCUUUGGAUUCCGUAAAAUGCUUUCUUGAUCUAUUAAUAUAAUCAAAUAACUUUUCUUCUUUAGCUAGUUAUCUGAGGGAUUGCCUUAACUAUUUUGUGUUAAGCCAGGCUUGCAUACCUGGAAUAAAUCUCACUUGGUCUUGAUGUGUAAUUCAACAAUGUAUUGCUAGAUUCAGCAUGCUAAUAUUUUGUUGAGAAUUUUUGAUGAGAGACAUUUGUCUGAACAUUUUUCUUUAAAUGUCUUUUUCUGCUUUUGGUAUUAGAACUUCAUAAAAUGAGUUGGGAUAUGUUCCUUUUGCUUCUGUUUUCUGGUAGCAAUUGCAAAUAAUUGGUAUCUUUUCCUCCUUAAAUGUUUCAUACAAUUCGCUAGUGAAACAAUCUAGGCCUGUUGCUUUCUUUCUUGGAAGGUUGUUAAUUAUUCAUAUAUUUCUAUACUAGAUAAAGAGUUAUUUGAAUUA